UGUUUCAAAGGGAGUGUAGAGAGAGUGUCUGAUCUUAUGGGGAAGGGAUGUUGACUGUCACCAGGAAGACUUCUUACAUGAGCUCUGUACAAAGGGAAACAGCAACGGAGAAGAGGUGGUGGGAGGUAGCCAGCAAAGUCAGUGACAUUUAGGAGGCAGCACUGCAGUACUUGGACAUACCAAGUAGUUAUUUCAUCUCGGUGAGCAAUUUUAAUUCAUUUUCAGCAAAAUCUUAAAAACUUGAAGACCUGGACUUCUUCAGCUGUGACAUCACAAACCUGAAGGAUUGCAGGGAAAGGAUUUUUGAGCUGCUUCAGGAGAUCACCUACCUAGAUUGAUUUGAUCAGGAAGAAGGGGAUGAGGAGGAUGAAGCAGAUGAAGAUGAAGCUGGUCCACCAGGAGAGUACAAAGAAGAUGAAGAUAAAGACGAUGGAGGUUAAGAUUUGGGGAGAGUGAAGAGGAGGAAGAAGCUGGCCUUUCAUACCUGAUGACAGACAAGAUCCAGCGGUGAUCAACGUGAGCCAUGAUGCACGACUGAUCACGCAGACCAGCUGCCAGCUCUGGGUGGUGGAGGAGCAGUCCAUCAGCCACAUCAACGGCGACUUCGACUGCAAGCGGGAGGUGCUGGAGGCCUCGGGCCAGGUCAGCAUUAACUGGCCCCGGGAGUGACCUUGCUGUGGGGAGGCUCCUCGAGGACCUGCCCAUCCCCUCUCAGAGACCUGCCUGCACAGCUUCAUGUGCACCCACACCCAAAGGACUCUGUGUAGAGGGGGAGGGCCACAGGCAUGGUUGCAGGAUGAACUUUGAAGAUGUGUUUUGGGGGCUAAUGCAAGACAUGUUAUAUUUUUAGAGCUGUUCUUCUACACCUGCUGCUUUCCCAGGAGAGAGAGACUUAAUUUAUAUGAAUGGGAGGGAGGGGGUUGUACUGGAAUGGUCUGUUUUAGGCAGGAGUGAGGGCUGUCCUUGUCCCAUUGCUGGGUUCCCUGCCCCCAGUCUGGAGAAUGGCUUGAGCCUUGUUUUGCUUCCACCCAAGAGGAUUAUAUUAAAAUAUA
Long non-coding RNA from Alligator mississippiensis (American alligator), 1052 nucleotides. RefSeq lists it as uncharacterized. NCBI's taxonomy places the organism in Eukaryota, Metazoa, Chordata, Crocodylia, Alligatoridae. The record is from RefSeq and is a predicted model, not a curated record. The transcript is spliced from 3 exons.